UGAAAUUGAAUAAAAUUUCCGUAGACAGUAGGUGCUGUAGCGUAACGUAAAUCAACCUACCGAGGUUCCAAUACAUUAGCUUGUAAUGGGUCUUCCUGUGUCUGCGGGAAGACCUUUCUUAAUAUAAUA
Clostridium amylolyticum is the source of this 129-nucleotide regulatory RNA element. It matches the Rfam family "Ribosomal protein L10 leader". From Rfam's summary of the family: This family is a putative r-protein leader autoregulatory structure found in B. subtilis and other low-GC Gram-positive bacteria. It is located in the 5' untranslated regions of mRNAs encoding ribosomal proteins L10 and L12 (rplJ-rplL). Lineage: Bacteria; Bacillati; Bacillota; Clostridia; Eubacteriales; Clostridiaceae. The record is from Rfam.